This 1325-nucleotide ribosomal RNA is filed under the name metagenome. RNAcentral's name for it is "bacterial LSU rRNA". It matches the Rfam family "Bacterial large subunit ribosomal RNA", at positions 1561 to 2925 of the family's 2925-position model. The record is from RNAcentral.
AGUGGAUGGGGAGCAACCUAGUUGUGCGUGUGUAAAGGUAGUGCCAAGAAAAGCGAUGAUCAUGUUGAAAAUCAAUUCCCGGUACCCGAAACCGACACAGGUGGGCAAGUAGAGAAUACUAAGGGGCGCGAGGUAACUCUCUCCAAGGAACUCGGCAAAAUGACCCCGUAACUUAGGGAGAAGGGGUGCCACCGAGAGGUGGUCGCAGUGAAGAGGCCCAGGCGACUGUUUAGCAAAAACAUAGGUCUCUGCAAACUCGAAAGAGGAGGUAUAGGGGCUGACGCCUGCCCAGUGCCGGAAGGUUAAAGAAGUUGGUCAGUUUUAGGAUGAAGCUAGCGACUGAAGCCCCGGUGAACGGCGGCCGUAACUAUAACGGUCCUAAGGUAGCGAAAUUCCUUGUCGGGUAAGUUCCGACCCGCACGAAAGGCGUAACGAUCUGGGCGCUGUCUCGGAGAGAGGCUCGGCGAAAUAGGAUUGUCUGUGAAGAUACGGACUACCUGCAUUUGGACAGAAAGACCCUAUGAAGCUUUACUACAGCUUGGAAUUGUGUUCGGGCUUCCUGUGCGCAGGAUAGGUGGGAGGCGAAGAAGGUAUUCUUGUGGGGAUACUGGAGCCAACGGUGAGAUACCACUCUCAGGAGGCUAGAAUUCUAACUUAAUUAAGGACAGUUUCAGGUGGGUAGUUUGACUGGGGCGGUCGCCUCCAAAAAGGUAACGGAGGCGUACAAAGGUUCCCUCAGACUGGUUGGAAAUCAGUCGCAGAGUGCAAAGGCAGAAGGGAGCUUGACUGCGAGAAGUACAGUUCGAGCAGGGUGGAAACACGGUCUUAGUGAUCCGACGGUGCUGUGUGGAAGGGCCGUCGCUCAACGGAUAAAAGUUACUCUAGGAUAACAGGCUGAUCUCCCCCAAGAGUUCACAUCGACGGGGAGGUUUGGCACCUCGAUGUCGGCUCAUCGCAACCUGGGGCGGAAGUACGUCCCAAGGGUUGGGCUGUUCGCCCAUUAAAGCGGUACGUGAGCUGGGUUCAGAACGUCGUGAGACAGUUCGGUCCAUAUCCGAUGUAGGCGUGAGAAUAUUGAGAGGAGCCUUCCUUAGUACGAGAGGACCGGGAAGGACGCACCGCUGGUGUACCUGUUAUGAUGCCAAUUGUAAACGCAGGGUAGCCAAGUGCGGAGAGGAUAACCGCUGAAAGCAUCUAAGUGGGAAGCCCACCUCAAGAUGAGUAUUCUGGUGUAAGGUCACGGGAAGACGACCCGUAAAUAGGCACGAGGUGGAAGUGCAGAGAUGUAUGAAGCCGAAGUGUACUAAUAGACCGUCGGCUUGACC